This 1897-nucleotide long non-coding RNA is filed under the name Homo sapiens (human). RNAcentral describes it as "HSALNT0297955". Lineage: Eukaryota; Metazoa; Chordata; Mammalia; Primates; Hominidae. The record is from RNAcentral.
UAAGGGUCCUCUACACUGCCCAUCUAAAUAAAAAUAAACACAAUAUUACAUUUUUAAAAUAUGUAUAAGGAGGGGCCUACAGCAUUCUCAUUUUCCUAAGGGGUCUACUUCCAUGUCUUUUUUGAUGUAUAAAAAUAAACAUUUUCAAAGGAAAUUUUGGUGCUUCUACCUUACCAGUACCUUAAAUAUACGCUUAGCUUGUUUUGGGGAAUCCAGACCUAAAUCUUUUGGACUCAUCCCAAAUGUCACCUUCUCAGGGGGACUUCUCUUAUCUGUCCUUUCUAAAGUGGCAUUCUUCCCUUCCUGAGACCCAUCUAUCACACCAUUCUGGUUUUCUCGUAUUUCAUAGAAAGCAUCAAAAUUUGUAAUUGUCAGGUAUAGUUUUUAGUUUACUAGCUUAUUGUUUGUCUUCUUUAUGAAGGAGGGUCCUGUCUGUCUUAUUUGUUGCUAUAACCUCCUCACCUAGUGCAAUGCCUGAUACAAAGUAAGUGAUAGUUCCUGAAUGAAUGAAUGAAUGAAUGUAGGCUCAUGGAUGGCAAGCAGCACAGAGUAGAUUAUAAUCCCAAGGCAGAUAGACUCAUUUGGGUUGUUACCUUGUAAGACACUUUCUUCAUGGGGUGGGAAGGGAGAAGUGAAUUCAUAGAAAGAGAGGACUGUUGUUGAAAGAGGGAGGGCCAUGGCCUCUGCAACCUGGUGAAGUCUCAGAGCUCAGGAUAUGGCAGAAAGAACAUGCUGUGAUGUUGCAUGGAUUCUGGGUGUGGUGAGAGCUGAUACUUACUUUUGGAUAGUCAUUUCCCUGUGUCUUCUCCAAACUUUCAGUAAAGUUUCUUAAACUCAACAGCUAAGUGUUUUGUUAUUUGGAAAAUUGAGGAAAGACCAUGUGUUCAUGCUCUGCUUUGGGGGCCAAGAUAAGCAAGAGAGAUUGGUGACAGCAUAGAGAAAUGGUGAUAAGAAAGCUAGAAGUGUUUGGGGGCAGCAACAACUAGAAUGGAUUUGUACAUUAGCAUCUAACUUUAGAAUUCCCAGAAUUAUUGUUAUUUGGAUAGUAGAGGAAAGAGUGACUCUUGGAUGGCUAAAGAAGUCGAGGUUAUUCUGGUUGCAAAAUUAAUAAGUUAUUUGGUAAUUAUGUGUUUAAUGUCUGUGUCCCAUGACACAGUAGACUUCCUCUGGAUAAUGAUUGUGUGUGAGUUGUUUACUACUAUGUUGCUGGGUUCCUGGCAUUGGGUGGGCACUCAAUAAAUAUUUGUUGAAUGAAUGAUUGGUUCUGGGUGUUUUUCUGUUUCUAGGUUAUAAGUCAGAAGGGUCUGCUGAAAUGUGAUGAGGAAAACUAGAAGAAAAGUCCAGGCCCUGAGAGUGAAUACCAGACAGAAGCUGGGGGUGGAAGAGUAUCAAUAUGCAAUAUGCAGACUGAUUUGCCGAGGAGGAUUCAGAUAGGAGAUUCAGACUCCCAGAACAACUAAAAGGAUAACAGGCACUGUCAAAGAUCUAGACAGAAGGGCCAGAAAAGCAGCAGUUGGAACACACAGAGGGACUGUUGCUGGACCCUGGGUACCUGGCUGAAGACUUUGGACUUUAACCUGGAGAUGAUGGAGAGUAUGCAGGAUAAAGUCCAUACCAAAUCCAACGCCUAGCAAAUGGAGAACAAGCCAAAACUAACAAGAUAAAAUGUAGCAGGAAAAAGUGCAAAGAGCUGAAGUGUGGAAUAAGUGGGAGAGGUCUGCCAUGCCCUAUCUGACCUUGCUGCCAUGAUCUUUAAGGCUGUGUGUCCUGGUUGGUGCAGCUACAAGAUGGCAGAAAUGCCUAAGUGAUGGUAUGGAACAGAGGAUCCCUCUUCUCACCAUUGUCUUGCAUGUUUCCUUGUGUGAACCACAAAUAAACUUUUGUUAUGUUAAGCUGC